GAUGAACGCUGGCGGCGUGCUUAACACAUGCGAGUCGAACGAUGAAGCCCAGCUUGCUGGGUGGAUUAGUGGCGAACGGGUGAGUAACACGUGAGUAACCUGCCCUUAACUCUGGGAUAAGCCUGGGAAACUGGGUCUAAUACCGGAUAGGAGCGUCCACCGCAUGGUGGGUGUUGGAAAGAUUUAUCGGUUUUGGAUGGACUCGCGGCCUAUCAGCUUGUUGGUGAGGUAAUGGCUCACCAAGGCGACGACGGGUAGCCGGCCUGAGAGGGUGACCGGCCACCCUGGGACUGAGACACGGCCCAGACUCCUACGGGAGGCAGCAGUGGGGAAUAUUGCACAAUGGGCGCAAGCCUGAUGCAGCGACGCCGCGUGAGGGAUGACGGCCUUCGGGUUGUAAACCUCUUUCAGUAGGGAAGAAGCGAAAGUGACGGUACCUGCAGAAGAAGCACCGGCUAACUACGUG
This 466-nucleotide ribosomal RNA is filed under the name uncultured bacterium. Its description in RNAcentral is "partial 16S ribosomal RNA". It matches the Rfam family "Bacterial small subunit ribosomal RNA", at positions 28 to 507 of the family's 1533-position model. The record is from RNAcentral.